This 92-nucleotide small RNA is filed under the name Actinoplanes sp. SE50/110. RNAcentral describes it as "non-coding RNA with unknown function". Lineage: Bacteria; Bacillati; Actinomycetota; Actinomycetes; Micromonosporales; Micromonosporaceae. The record is from RNAcentral.
CCGAUCCGAAGUGCCGGCUCCGGGGAUUGGCCGGCCGCGCUGGAAACAGAGACGCUCCCCGACUUGUCCUCCCGGGCCCGCACCAUUCCCUC